UUGAGGUCCGUGAACAAUCAGAAACAAAAAACACGGGAGCGGUUCCUUCCUGAUUUUCGCAUGUCAUGCAUGCCAGGGGGCGUCCGUGAUUUUUACUGUGACUAAAAAAGUGUGACCAAAGCAGUCAUUCGACUUGAAUUAGAAAAGCAUGGGAAUAACAAAGGCAGCAGCACUAUGGGGCCACCGAUUUCGUGCUUUCUGUUGGUUUUUAAAAAGUCCCAUUGGGAAGAUUAAUGGCGGUCCGUGCCGAACAAAGCGGUCCUGGGGUGUUUUUCCCCAUCUUUUGAGGGCCACCCCGAUCGCCCCUUUGCCGGGGAAAUUCCGUG
Molecule: ribosomal RNA, 326 nt
Filed under: Trypanosoma theileri
Lineage: Eukaryota; Euglenozoa; Kinetoplastea; Trypanosomatida; Trypanosomatidae
Description: partial small subunit ribosomal RNA
Source: RNAcentral